UUUUUAUCCUUACGGGGGAGACAGUCAUGAGACGUGAGUAUAAGACCUGAGUGUAAAGACCUUAGGGUGAAGCAAUUGGAGGGCAAGCUUUGGUGCCAGCAGCCGCGGUAACUCCAACUCCAAGAGUGUCUAUGGUGGAUGCUGCAGUUAAAGGGUCCGUAGUCGUGAAUGCAAUUAAAUGUCGUUGUUCAAUAGCGAUGAGUUUGCUAAUGUUUGCGGAACGGAUAGGGAGUGUAGUAUAGACUGGCGAAGAAUGAAAUCUCAAGACCCAGUUUGGACUAACGGAGGCGAAGGCGACACUCUUAGACGUAUCUUAGGAUCAAGGACGAAGGCAGGAGUAUCGAAAGUGAUUAGACACCGCUGUAGUUCCUGCAGUAAACUAUGCCGACAGCCUGUGUGUGAGAAUACGUGGGCGGGAGAAAUCUUAGUGUUCGGGCUCUGGGGAUAGUACGCUCGCAAGGGUGAAACUUAAAGCGAAAUUGACGGAAGGACACUACCAGGAGUGGAUUGUGCUGCUUAAUUUAACUCAACGCUGGGAAAACUUACCAGGGUCAAGUCAUUCGUUGAUCGAAUACGUGAGAAUGGCAGGAGGGGUAGGGGGGGG
This 604-nucleotide ribosomal RNA is filed under the name Enterocytozoon bieneusi. RNAcentral describes it as "SSU rRNA". It matches the Rfam family "Microsporidia small subunit ribosomal RNA", at positions 303 to 911 of the family's 1311-position model. The record is from RNAcentral. Lineage: Eukaryota; Fungi; Microsporidia; Enterocytozoonidae.